Molecule: transfer RNA, 62 nt
Filed under: Scaphoideus maai
Lineage: Eukaryota; Metazoa; Arthropoda; Insecta; Hemiptera; Cicadellidae
Description: tRNA-His
Source: RNAcentral
AUUUAGGUAGUUUAUAAAAAAUAUAGAUUUGUGGAUUCUAAGAAAUUUAAUAGUUCUAAAUU